Molecule: ribosomal RNA, 509 nt
Filed under: uncultured bacterium
Lineage: Bacteria
Description: bacterial SSU rRNA
Rfam family: Bacterial small subunit ribosomal RNA
Source: RNAcentral
CAGAUGAACGCUGGCGGCGUGCUUAACACAUGCAAGUCGAACGCGAAAGGGACUUCGGUCCUGAGUAAAGUGGCGCACGGGUGAGUAACGCGUGGAUAAUCUGCCCUUAUGAUCGGGAUAACAGUUGGAAACGGCUGCUAAUACCGGAUACGCUCAAAAUGAACUUUUUGAGGAAAGAUGGCCUCUGCUUGCAUGCUAUCACGUAAGGAUGAGUCCGCGUCCCAUUAGCUUGUUGGCGGGGUAACGGCCCACCAAGGCAACGAUGGGUAGCCGAUUUGAGAGGAUGAUCGGCCACACUGGAACUGAAACACGGUCCAGACUCCUACGGGAGGCAGCAGUGGGGAAUAUUGCGCAAUGGGCGAAAGCCUGACGCAGCGACGCCGCGUGAGGGAUGAAGGUUUUCGGAUCGUAAACCUCUGUCAGAAGGGAAGAAACUACGUUGUGCUAAUCAGCAGCGUACUGACGGUACCUUCAAAGGAAGCACCGGCUAACUCCGUGCCAGCCGCCGC